This is a long non-coding RNA of Dreissena polymorpha, 2709 nucleotides long. RefSeq lists it as uncharacterized. The transcript has 4 exons. NCBI's taxonomy places the organism in Eukaryota, Metazoa, Mollusca, Bivalvia, Myida, Dreissenidae. The record is from RefSeq and is a predicted model, not a curated record.
UGAAUUUACUUAACACUGUAGAAAGCAGGGAUUUCGGACAGGCAUGUGUUUUGGACAUACAGUUUAGCAAUUGUGGUGCAGUAAAUAAUGUGGCUACUGGACGGAAACAUGGCAGAGUUUAUGACAUGAUCACAAAGCUUGCAUUUGGGUAAAUCAAAAACUGGGUGUUUCACCUGGGACUUUCACAUCGAAACUGGCCCUUCUCCAUGACCUUCAGCACAAAAAAAGAAAGGCUAUAACUGUUACUCGUGCAGCAAAACAGUGACGCAUAAGACUUAAAACUCGAACGGCAUUCAAAGGACAGUGCAAGAAGUACAAGCGGGACCAACAUACAGUUCAAACAUAGAGGACCAAGACGUUGAAGUUACAACUAUACCCCCACCUAUACCCAAGCCUGGUCCAGCAGGGCUAGACACUACUGGGAAGGAAUUUGUUUUCUUUGAUUUGGAAACAAGAGGGUUAGAGCACACUUCUCACAUAAUUCAGAUAGCUGCAGUGCAUUCAACUGUUCAGAAGAUUUCCUUGCAAGCGUCAGAAGAAACUGGAGUGACAGUUGUUAGCGACUCUAUGCUUGUCAAGAGACAAACAGUAACAGCUGUCCCCAUCAAAUCUGCAUUGAAAAGUUUUAUAACAUUCUUACAGAAAUGUUCACCAAUUAUUUUAGUUGGGCAUAAUAUAGAGUCUUUUGAUUGUAAAGUGUUGCUCCGUGCUAUCCAUACUUGUUGAAAAAUGUUUGAGUUUCAGCAAAAUAUUUGUGGCUUUUUAGAUACUUAAAAAUGUUAAAGGAAAUAUUACCAAAUAUGAAAUCAUAUUAGCGGGAACAUUUAGUUAAAGAAGUCAUUGGUGAAUUAUACAUGGCACAUGGCGCUAUACAGGAUAUUUUAGCUUUACAAAAGUUAGUGAACUCUGUUCCUCUUGACCAAAAAUUGUUAACAAAUAUUCAUUCAGCUUUUACCGAGCAGUGUUAACAUACAAUGUGUAACUAAAUGUUGCUUCCAACAUCAAAUCUUUACAAACCAUAAUUGAUACAAAAGUUAUAAGUCAAGGUGUUGCAAGGAAAGUUGCAGGAAGUGGAUUUCAACUUAAACAUUUGAGUCCUGUAUCAAAAAGAAACGGACUGAGUGGUUUGAGGAGCCCCCUUUCAGAGGUUACAAACGGACAAAUCAGAGUAACAAAAUCAGAGAAAAUAAUAUGUACAAUAGCGAGUUAUUUGUUGCCUGACAUCUAACCAAUAUAUAUAUCUUGUAUAUAGAUAAGCUAUGAAAUCUAAUAGCUGUUACAUCAUUGUUUUUCCUUCUCGAUGACGAACGUAGUUGUGAUUCUUAUGUCAGUUGUAUUUCUCAUGUUUCACCUAAGUUGUAAGAUAUUUUUGGCAGUGCAUUAAACCACAGAUGGUGUGUGAAACAUAAUUGCCCAGCUUAUUGUAUUCUUUGUUGUUUUAAGCUUCACUGGCCAAAGGCCAGCGGGGCUUAUGUUAUGAUUCUGUGUCCGUCGUGCGUGCGUGCCUGAACGUUUCCUUUAAACAUCUUCUUCUCCUAAACUACUGGUCCAAUUGUGAUGAAAUUUCUCAGGAAUGUUCCUCUUUCAACGUUGUUCAAAUUAUGCCCCUGGGGUCAAAUUUGAUCCUGCCCCGGGGUCACAAAAUUGAACAUAUGCUUAUAUAGGGUCUAUUUUGUGAAAACUUCACAUAUUUUUUCGUCCAUAACCAUUGGGCCUUGGGCUUCCAAAUUUGGUAUGUAGUGGCAUCUUAUAGUCCUCUACCAAGUUUGUUCAAAUUAUGCCCCUAGGGUCAAGUUUGACCCUGCCCUGAGGGUCACAAAAUUGAACAUAUGCUUAUAUUAGGCAUUUUUUGUGAAAACUUUAAAAAUCUUCUUGUUCAUAUUAGUAUGGCAUAGGGCUACCAAAUUUGGUAUGUAAUGACAUGUAAUAGUUCUCUACCAAGUUUGUUCAAAUUAUGCCCCUUGGGUUAAAUUUGAAACUGCCCCGGGGGUCACAAAACUGAACAUAUGCUUAUAAAGUGCUUUAUUUGUGAAAAAAAAUUGUCCAUAUCUAUUGGGCCUAGGGCUACCAAAUUUGGUAUGUAGUGACAUCUUAUAAACCUCUACCAAAUUUGUUCAAAUAAUGCCUCUGGGGUCAACUUUGACCCUGCCGCGGGGGGUCACAAAAUUUAAUAAACGCUUGUCGAAAACCAUUCUGACUAUGGCUACCAAAUUUGGUAUGCAGGAACAUCUUAUAGUCAUCUACCAAGUUUGUUACUUUGGGUCAAAUUUGACCCUGACCCGCAGGUCACAAAAUUGAACAUUAUAUACGCUUGUAUCUUGCUUAUUUUAUGAAAACUUUAAAAAUAUUCUUGUCCUUAACUCUACAUCUAAGACUUAGGGCCACCACAUUUUGUGUGGAGUGAGAUAUAGUAGUCCUCUACAAAGUUUGCUCAAAUUAUGCCCCUGGGGUUAAAUUUGACCCAGCCAAGGUGGUCACAAAAUUGUACAUAUGCUUAAAUAGGGCCUAUAUUUAAGUAUCUGCACAUGCGGAGAAUAUUUGUUUCAGUCUUUUUCUCAGCAGUGGAGCGAUACAGGGCCAUCAUGGCCUCUUGUCUUAAAAUACACAUCACACAGUUUUAAAAAUAAUUUUAAAAUACCUAAUACAUAUGCUCAAUUUACAACCAACAACAUGGGUAACAGGUGGGUGGGGUAAUUUAAGAUGUUUAUU